UGGUUUGACAGAGGGGAGCAACACAAAGCUGGUCUUCGUCCAGGAACUGAAACACUAGCCUACAUUUGGUUUCAUCAAUCCAGGUUUCUGUCGUUUCAGACGGGCAGCACAGAAAACAGUCGACAUACGUAGACAGUUAGCGUGUCUGCCUCACAAGUCCAGAGCUGCCGCCUUUGAAACUCAGACGCCGAUUGGUCGAAUCUUCCUGUUGUGACCCGAGCCCGGUGGCAUCAUGCUGCUCCCAAGUUACAUCCAGGUGCACGCAGAGUGUAAAGACACGCUGUACCCGACUGCAAUCACAAAGCUCGAGGGGCAACGGGCUCCCCGCCAGGUGCACAAUACUGCCCCCAGUGGUCAUCUGAGCAUGUCUGCCACCUCUGCCAAUGCUCAUGCACUCCACUCGACUUCCACGCAGCCACUUGGGUCAAUACGUUGUCCCCGCCGACCCCCCCCCCCCCCCCCAUCACUGUCAAUGUCAAUGUCACCAGCACAUACGAUGUGAGCCCACCCUACUGCGAACCUCUCGCCAAGCCCGCCACCUCGGACGGGGUUGUCAAGCCCACGAUUGUUCCGUGAAGCCGAGUGGCCGAUCAAAGCCCAUCGCUGCAGGAGACCUCCUUGAAGCGGCCUCGUCCGGUCCGUGACCUAUAAGCAGUGCGGGACCCCUGUCGUCCUGGUCCCUACUUUUCGUAGCCCUCCACCCCUUCCCCUCAACCUGACCAGGAGCAGUGAGCCAGGCAAGCUUGUGAAUAAGCACAAGAAGAAUGAAUGACCGAGUGAAUGGGUGGUCCCUCUGCCACGGGAUUGGACUUGAUGGAACCGAAAGAAGCUCUCAUGCGGCGUCACCUCGAACAAUAACGUGCAAAAAGAGUUCAGAAUUCCCGGAAGGAUGUUUACUUCACUCCUGGUCUCUUUUUGUCAAAACGGAUUUCUUCAGUGUCCAAGUCAGCUUAUCUCUUCCGAGCUCAAAAUGGGAAGAAUGGCGUCGUCAAAGCUUUUAGUUUUUAUUUUUUUUGAAUGUGCACAUUCACUGUUACUCGGUUUCUCUCAGGGCCCCCCUUAUAGUUAUGUGUAAUCGUGUGCAUGCUAAGUAAUGUCUCGAACAAGGAAUGUUGCUGUGUUGAAGUGAUUUUAGCGGAAAGAAGAGGUUGACUUAUAAUGAAAUCCCAGAUGACGUUUGAAGGUCUAAAAAAAAAAAAAUGCCCUGGUAUUUAAAAAAAAAACAACAACAACAACAAAAACUCCUGUACACCCAAAUUGAGUUUCAUUUGCACCCCUGGCCUCCCUGAUGCAAACAAAAUGUGGUGUUAUGUUCUUCUAGUUUUCAUUAAUUGUAAUUUAUUUUGUAACGUAUUUAUAGGAUAAUCGAUGUCGUUUUCUCUAUGUUUAGAUUUUAUGACUUUUUUUUAGUUGAUGAAAGCAAUAUUAAGCCAAUU
Hippocampus zosterae (dwarf seahorse) is the source of this 1436-nucleotide long non-coding RNA. RefSeq lists it as uncharacterized. NCBI's taxonomy places the organism in Eukaryota, Metazoa, Chordata, Actinopteri, Syngnathiformes, Syngnathidae. The record is from RefSeq and is a predicted model, not a curated record. The transcript is spliced from 3 exons.